CAAUAGCGUAUAUUAAAGUUGUUGCGGUAAAAAAGCUCGUAGUUGGAUUUCUGUCGAACUGAUCGGGUCGCCUUUAUGAGGUUGUAUCUCGCUUCGGUUUGGCAUCCUCGUAGGGAACGUUGCUGCGCUUCACUGCGUGGUGCGGUAUCUACGACUUUUACUUUGAGGAAAUUAGAGUGUUCAAAGCAGGCAUCGCCGUUGAAUACAUUAGCAUGGAAUAAUAAGAUAAGACUUUGGUGGUCUAUUUUGUUGGUUUGCACGCCAAAGUAAUGAUUAAUAGGGAUAGUUGGGGGUAUUCGUAUUCUAUUGCUAGAGGUGAAAUUCUUAAAUUUAUGGAAGACGAACUACUGCGAAAGCAUUUACCAAGGAUGUUUUCAUUAA
This 381-nucleotide ribosomal RNA is filed under the name uncultured eukaryote. RNAcentral's name for it is "partial 18S ribosomal RNA". It matches the Rfam family "Eukaryotic small subunit ribosomal RNA", at positions 592 to 976 of the family's 1831-position model. The record is from RNAcentral.